GGGAGGGGGGGGGCGGGAGCCUGGGGAGGACGAACCGGGCGAACGUGUGUCGGAAUAACGGGGCUUAAAGUGCGGGUAGGCGGCAGGUCAAGUCCGGGGUGAAAGCCCCCAGCUCAACUGGGGAAGUGCCUUGGAGACUGGGCUGCUCGAGGGAGGUAGGGGUCGAGGGAACUUCUGGUGGAGCGGUGAAAUGCGUUGAUAUCAGAAGGAACGCCGGUGGCGAAAGCGCUCGACUGGACCUUUUCUGACGCUGAGGCGCGAAAGCUAGGGGAGCAAACGGGAUUAGAUACCCGUGUAGUC
This 300-nucleotide ribosomal RNA is filed under the name uncultured Marinithermus sp. RNAcentral's name for it is "bacterial SSU rRNA". The stretch from base 52 to 300 matches the Rfam family "Bacterial small subunit ribosomal RNA", at positions 547 to 795 of the family's 1533-position model. The record is from RNAcentral. Lineage: Bacteria; Thermotogati; Deinococcota; Deinococci; Thermales; Thermaceae.